AACGCACCUUGCGCUCCUUGGCAUUCCGAGGAGCAUGCCUGUUUGAGUGUCAUGCAGUCAUCAAGCCGCUUCUUUUCCUCUUCCCCCGAGGGAGAGGGAGGGGUAGGCCUUGAGGUUGGGUGUUUGCCGGGUGGGGCGAAGCGCCGCCGGCUCUCCCGAAAUCCAUUAGCAGGUACACGCGUCUGGGACCGCGCCCCUGGCAUGAUGAGAAGAAUUUGCCAGGCAUACCGUCCGCAGACGCGGGGUUGCUCACAACCGAGUCGGCACCCGGGUCCCCCGGCCGCCGACGGAAAUGAAGAUCCGACCUCAAAUCAGGCAGGACUACCCGCCGAACUUAA
Molecule: unclassified non-coding RNA, 338 nt
Filed under: uncultured fungus
Lineage: Eukaryota; Fungi
Description: sequence contains ITS2
Rfam family: 5.8S ribosomal RNA (bases 1-52)
Source: RNAcentral